Molecule: ribosomal RNA, 301 nt
Filed under: uncultured bacterium
Lineage: Bacteria
Description: partial 16S ribosomal RNA
Rfam family: Bacterial small subunit ribosomal RNA
Source: RNAcentral
CAGCAGCCGCGGUAAUACAGAGGGUGCAAGCGUUAAUCGGAUUUACUGGGCGUAAAGGGCGCGUAGGUGGUUAUGUAAGUGAGAUGUGAAAUCCCCGGGCUCAACCUGGGAACUGCAUCUUAUACUGCGUAGCUGGAGUGCAGUAAAGGGUAGUGGAAUUUCCGGUGUAGCGGUGAAAUGCGUAGAUAUCGGAAGGAACACCAGUGGCGAAGGCGGCUACCUGGACUGACACCGACACUGAGGCGCGAAAGCGUGGGGAGCAAACAGGAUUAGAUACCCCCGUAGUCCCUGUCUCUUAUAC